This 2904-nucleotide ribosomal RNA is filed under the name Klebsiella quasipneumoniae. RNAcentral's name for it is "23S ribosomal RNA". It matches the Rfam family "Bacterial large subunit ribosomal RNA". The record is from RNAcentral. Lineage: Bacteria; Pseudomonadati; Pseudomonadota; Gammaproteobacteria; Enterobacterales; Enterobacteriaceae.
GGUUAAGCGACUAAGCGUACACGGUGGAUGCCCUGGCAGUCAGAGGCGAUGAAGGACGUGCUAAUCUGCGAAAAGCGUCGGUAAGGUGAUAUGAACCGUUAUAGCCGGCGAUGUCCGAAUGGGGAAACCCAGUGCAAUUCGUUGCACUAUCGUUAACUGAAUACAUAGGUUAACGAGGCGAACCGGGGGAACUGAAACAUCUAAGUACCCCGAGGAAAAGAAAUCAACCGAGAUUCCCCCAGUAGCGGCGAGCGAACGGGGAGCAGCCCAGAGUCUGAAUCAGCUUGUGUGUUAGUGGAACGGUCUGGAAAGUCCGACGGUACAGGGUGAUAGUCCCGUACACCAAAAUGCACAGGCUGUGAACUCGAAGAGUAGGGCGGGACACGUGGUAUCCUGUCUGAAUAUGGGGGGACCAUCCUCCAAGGCUAAAUACUCCUGACUGACCGAUAGUGAACCAGUACCGUGAGGGAAAGGCGAAAAGAACCCCGGCGAGGGGAGUGAAAAAGAACCUGAAACCGUGUACGUACAAGCAGUGGGAGCACCUUUAUGGUGUGACUGCGUACCUUUUGUAUAAUGGGUCAGCGACUUAUAUUCUGUAGCAAGGUUAACCGUAUAGGGGAGCCGCAGGGAAACCGAGUCUUAACUGGGCGUUAAGUUGCAGGGUAUAGACCCGAAACCCGGUGAUCUAGCCAUGGGCAGGUUGAAGGUUGGGUAACACUAACUGGAGGACCGAACCGACUAAUGUUGAAAAAUUAGCGGAUGACUUGUGGCUGGGGGUGAAAGGCCAAUCAAACCGGGAGAUAGCUGGUUCUCCCCGAAAGCUAUUUAGGUAGCGCCUCGUGAACUCAUCUUCGGGGGUAGAGCACUGUUUCGGCUAGGGGGUCAUCCCGACUUACCAACCCGAUGCAAACUACGAAUACCGAAGAAUGUUAUCACGGGAGACACACGGCGGGUGCUAACGUCCGUCGUGAAGAGGGAAACAACCCAGACCGCCAGCUAAGGUCCCAAAGUCAUGGUUAAGUGGGAAACGAUGUGGGAAGGCACAGACAGCCAGGAUGUUGGCUUAGAAGCAGCCAUCAUUUAAAGAAAGCGUAAUAGCUCACUGGUCGAGUCGGCCUGCGCGGAAGAUGUAACGGGGCUAAACCAUGCACCGAAGCUGCGGCAGCGACGCUUAUGCGUUGUUGGGUAGGGGAGCGUUCUGUAAGCCUGCGAAGGUGGCCUGUGAGGGUUGCUGGAGGUAUCAGAAGUGCGAAUGCUGACAUAAGUAACGAUAAAGCGGGUGAAAAGCCCGCUCGCCGGAAGACCAAGGGUUCCUGUCCAACGUUAAUCGGGGCAGGGUGAGUCGACCCCUAAGGCGAGGCCGAAAGGCGUAGUCGAUGGGAAACAGGUUAAUAUUCCUGUACUUGGUGUUACUGCGAAGGGGGGACGGAGAAGGCUAUGUUAGCCGGGCGACGGUUGUCCCGGUUUAAGCAUGUAGGCUGGUUAUCCAGGCAAAUCCGGAUAAUCAAGGCUGAGGUGUGAUGACGAGGCACUACGGUGCUGAAGUAACAAAUGCCCUGCUUCCAGGAAAAGCCUCUAAGCAUCAGGUAACAUCAAAUCGUACCCCAAACCGACACAGGUGGUCAGGUAGAGAAUACCAAGGCGCUUGAGAGAACUCGGGUGAAGGAACUAGGCAAAAUGGUGCCGUAACUUCGGGAGAAGGCACGCUGGUGUGUAGGUGAAGUCCCUGCGGAUGGAGCUGAGACCAGUCGAAGAUACCAGCUGGCUGCAACUGUUUAUUAAAAACACAGCACUGUGCAAACACGAAAGUGGACGUAUACGGUGUGACGCCUGCCCGGUGCCGGAAGGUUAAUUGAUGGGGUUAUCCGUAAGGAGAAGCUCUUGAUCGAAGCCCCGGUAAACGGCGGCCGUAACUAUAACGGUCCUAAGGUAGCGAAAUUCCUUGUCGGGUAAGUUCCGACCUGCACGAAUGGCGUAAUGAUGGCCAGGCUGUCUCCACCCGAGACUCAGUGAAAUUGAACUCGCUGUGAAGAUGCAGUGUACCCGCGGCAAGACGGAAAGACCCCGUGAACCUUUACUAUAGCUUGACACUGAACAUUGAGCCUUGAUGUGUAGGAUAGGUGGGAGGCUUUGAAGCGUGGACGCCAGUCUGCGUGGAGCCAACCUUGAAAUACCACCCUUUAAUGUUUGAUGUUCUAACGUUGGCCCCUAAUCGGGGUUGCGGACAGUGUCUGGUGGGUAGUUUGACUGGGGCGGUCUCCUCCCAAAGCGUAACGGAGGAGCACGAAGGUUAGCUAAUCCUGGUCGGACAUCAGGAGGUUAGUGCAAUGGCAUAAGCUAGCUUGACUGCGAGCGUGACGGCGCGAGCAGGUGCGAAAGCAGGUCAUAGUGAUCCGGUGGUUCUGAAUGGAAGGGCCAUCGCUCAACGGAUAAAAGGUACUCCGGGGAUAACAGGCUGAUACCGCCCAAGAGUUCAUAUCGACGGCGGUGUUUGGCACCUCGAUGUCGGCUCAUCACAUCCUGGGGCUGAAGUAGGUCCCAAGGGUAUGGCUGUUCGCCAUUUAAAGUGGUACGCGAGCUGGGUUUAGAACGUCGUGAGACAGUUCGGUCCCUAUCUGCCGUGGGCGCUGGAGAAUUGAGGGGGGCUGCUCCUAGUACGAGAGGACCGGAGUGGACGCAUCACUGGUGUUCGGGUUGUCAUGCCAAUGGCACUGCCCGGUAGCUAAAUGCGGAAGAGAUAAGUGCUGAAAGCAUCUAAGCACGAAACUUGCCCCGAGAUGAGUUCUCCCUGAGACUUUAAGUCUCCUGAAGGAACGUUAAAGACGAUGACGUUGAUAGGCCGGGUGUGUAAGCGCAGCGAUGCGUUGAGCUAACCGGUACUAAUGAACCGUGAGGCUUAACCUU